Molecule: transfer RNA, 71 nt
Filed under: Rhombodera brachynota
Lineage: Eukaryota; Metazoa; Arthropoda; Insecta; Mantodea; Mantidae
Description: tRNA-Tyr
Rfam family: tRNA
About the family: Transfer RNA (tRNA) molecules are approximately 80 nucleotides in length.
Source: RNAcentral
GGUAAAAUGGCUGAGAUUUAUAGGUAAUAGAUUGUAAAUCUAUUAAGGGGAUUAAAAAUUCCCUUUUACCA